AAAAACUCAUCUUCAUCUUAGAAAAUAUUAUGUUCUUCUUCAUUUUUAUCAUCAAAACACAAUCCCAAAAAUACUCAUCAUUCAACAAUCUAAACCACUAUUAAAGUUUAUCCUAUUCUAUCUCACCUCAGGUAAGCCUCUGAAAUUGUCUUCCCUCCCAAACACACUUAUUCCUUUUCAUAAUUCCUCUCGUUCUCCAUACUCACACCUCAUUUCUUUAAAACAGCUUCAAUUGAUUCCGGUGGGAACCAUCACCCAUCGAAGCCACAGAACCGUGAACCUCAUCCAUCGGGCAAAGGGGAACUCCCCUCACUACCAUCCUCUUCACGGUAAUGCACCAGGACCGACGGGAUUGAGAAAGAAAUGGUGCUAGUCCACCACGAGACCUUACGCAAGGCUCGUCGGCACCCCACGUGCGGCCUCCAUGGAUGAGUUCAUCCAUUGUUGUUCUCCAAGGGGUGUGGUAUCCCUUUCAGGUUUCAGUGUCCUUCCUUUUUUCUUUUCACAGUUCAAAUGUUGCUUUUGAAUGCCUUUACUUUUCAAUUAUCAAAG
This 552-nucleotide long non-coding RNA is filed under the name Lupinus angustifolius (narrow-leaved blue lupine). RNAcentral's name for it is "long non-coding RNA (LANG_LNC000676)". The record is from RNAcentral. Lineage: Eukaryota; Viridiplantae; Streptophyta; Magnoliopsida; Fabales; Fabaceae.